RNAcentral lists this ribosomal RNA (390 nucleotides) under uncultured bacterium. RNAcentral describes it as "bacterial SSU rRNA". It matches the Rfam family "Bacterial small subunit ribosomal RNA", at positions 30 to 406 of the family's 1533-position model. The record is from RNAcentral.
AGUGAACGCUGGCGGCAGGCCUAACACAUGCAAGUCGAGCGGCAGCGCGUCCGACCACCCUCGGGUGGUCGGAUGGCGGCGAGCGGCGGACGGGUGAGGAAUGCAUCGGAAUCUGCCUCGUUGUGGGGGAUAACGUAGGGAAACUUACGCUAAUACCGCAUACGACCUACGGGUGAAAGUGGGGGACCUUGGGCCUCACGCGAUGAGAUGAGCCGAUGCCGGAUUAGCUAGUUGGCGGGGUAAAGGCCCACCAAGGCGACGAUCCGUAGCUGGUCUGAGAGGAUGAUCAGCCACACUGGAACUGAGACACGGUCCAGACUCCUACGGGAGGCAGCAGUGGGGAAUAUUGGACAAUGGGGGGCAACCCUGAUCCAGCCAUGCCGCGUGUGU